GGGGAGAUUCAGGUCUCGCCGCGCGCCGCGCCGCGCCCGCGACAAGGGAUGGCGUUAAAAAAGCCGUGGGGCAACCCACGGUCCGGGANCCACUCCGCGGGCGCGGUCCCGGCGCCGGAGUGACGCACUUCUCCCCCGGUAGAACGUCGCGAUCCGUCGGGCGCCGGCCUAAGGUCCCGGGUGGAGCCGAGCCCGCGCCCGACCCAGGGGAUCCCGGCCGGGUGCCCGACGGUACGAAGAGAGGAAGGAGUCGGCGCGCCUAGGCGUCNNNCCCUCCGCAAGCACUCGCGGGAGAGGGAGGCGGGCCCGGCCCGGCCUCUCUUCAUCGGGGCUGUUUGCGACGGAGGUGUGCUCGGACCUAGGNUGGUNCUNANAANGUUUUUGGGCUCNUUCNUGCCUGGAGAANNCGCCGGUGCAGAUCUUCNNUGGUAGUAGCAAAUACUCCAGCGAGGCCCUGGAGGACUGAUGUGGAGAAGGGUUUCGUGUGAACAGCCGUUGCACACGAGUCAGUCGAUCCUAAGCCCUAGGAGAAAUCCGAUGCAAACGGCGAUGGGAAACGCCCAUUGAUCGGGCGAAAGGGAAUCCGGUUCCUAUUCCGGAACCCGGCAGCGGAACCGUUGUUUGUCGGGCCCUCGCAAGGGGUUCGUCAGGGCAACCUAAAANGGCCCGGAGACGCCGUCGGGGGCCCCGGAAAGAGUUUUCUUUUCUGCAUGAGCGUUCGAGUUCCCUGGAAUCCUCUCGCAGGGAGAUAGGGUUUGGAACGCGAAGAGCACCGCAGUUGCGGCGGUGCGCGGGAAUUCCCGACGGACCUUGAAAAUCCGGGAGAGGGCCACGUGGAGNUGUCGCGCCGGCUCGUACCCAUAUCCGCAGCAGGUCUCCAAGGUGAAGAGCCUCUAGUCNNNNNNNNNNNNNNNGUUAGACCUUUACCCGUCUUGAAACACGGACCAAGGAGUCUAACAUGCGCGCGAGUCGUUGGGUCGGACACGCUCCGCUAAACCCAUAGGCGCAAUGAAAGUGAAGGUCGCCCUUUGCGGGACCGAGGGAGGACGGAGGCGUUCCUCCCGCACUCCC
RNAcentral lists this ribosomal RNA (1071 nucleotides) under Crocothemis erythraea. RNAcentral describes it as "partial 28S ribosomal RNA". The stretch from base 428 to 899 matches the Rfam family "Eukaryotic large subunit ribosomal RNA", at positions 1456 to 1888 of the family's 3401-position model. The record is from RNAcentral. Lineage: Eukaryota; Metazoa; Arthropoda; Insecta; Odonata; Libellulidae.